Stegostoma tigrinum is the source of this 662-nucleotide long non-coding RNA. RefSeq lists it as uncharacterized. The record is from RefSeq and is a predicted model, not a curated record. The transcript has 3 exons. NCBI's taxonomy places the organism in Eukaryota, Metazoa, Chordata, Chondrichthyes, Orectolobiformes, Stegostomatidae.
GUCGCAAUUUCAGUUUGGGUUGUUCUCUUGUCCUUUCUGUCUUGAUGUGGAUAUGCCGGUGAUGGACUGGACUGGACCAGAAAAGCCACGAAUUAUGGACAGUGAGCCUAAUGUCAGUGGAGGAUGUGGCCGUCGUGUUGACCCUGCAGACACCCACUUCCAUAUUCCAAAACGGAGGGACCCCAAUCAGUAUGGAGUGUCAUUACGCAAAAAUGCUACCUUGAACGUCUAUUGAUGUCAAUGGCUUCGUGGUCGCGAGCAUCAGAACUUUGUCUAUUCCUGUACGAGAACAAUCACUCCCAAUUGAGUGGUGGACGGUUUCACCACCAGUUCCAUUGCUGAAAACGCUCACUUCUGUCUUGAGUGUUUUGGCCGAUGGGUGAAUCACACGGCCGUGCAAUACCGCGACUGGCGUUUACACACACUGACUGAGCUGCACGGAAGGGCUCAACAACAAAAAUAAAAACACCCUAAGUGAUUCAGAGUAUAUGUUGGCCUGGCAGUUUCUCUAAACCUCUGUCACUAUCUUUCUGUCCAUCUAUCUGUCUGUCUGUCGACGUAUUUGACUGAUUAUGUCUAUCUUUGUAUCUGCCUCUAUUAUUGAUACAUCAAGUUGUCAUAUCGAUCUGCCGUUCUUCUGUCAAAACGUUUACCUUUUGCUA